CCGCUAACCAUGCCGUGGCCAGUCCCAAGCCUGGAUGUGAAAAUGGGAGGGGCGG
This 55-nucleotide non-coding RNA is filed under the name unclassified sequences. The record is from RNAcentral.